Molecule: ribosomal RNA, 345 nt
Filed under: uncultured Anaerolineaceae bacterium
Lineage: Bacteria; Bacillati; Chloroflexota; Anaerolineae; Anaerolineales; Anaerolineaceae
Description: bacterial SSU rRNA
Rfam family: Bacterial small subunit ribosomal RNA
Source: RNAcentral
GGGGAGCCUUCACAGGUGCUGCAUGGCUGUCGUCAGCUCGUGUCGUGAGAUGUCCGGUUAAGUCCGGUAACGAGCGCAACCCUCGCUGUGUGUUAUAUGUGUCACACGGGACUGCCGGUAUCAAGCCGGAGGAAGGUGGGGAUGACGUCAAGUCAGCAUGGCCUUUAUGUCUGGGGCUACACACACGCUACAAUGGCCAGUACAAUAGGUUGCAAGACCGCGAGGCGGAGCCAAUCCUUAAAGCUGGUCUCAGUUCGGAUUGCAGGCUGCAACUCGCCUGCAUGAAGUCGGAGUUGCUAGUAACCGCGCGUCAGCCAUAGUGCGGUGAAUACGUUCCCGGGCCUU